RNAcentral lists this ribosomal RNA (386 nucleotides) under Schizochytrium sp. RNAcentral describes it as "partial small subunit ribosomal RNA". It matches the Rfam family "Eukaryotic small subunit ribosomal RNA", at positions 587 to 975 of the family's 1831-position model. The record is from RNAcentral. Lineage: Eukaryota; Bigyra; Thraustochytrida; Thraustochytriidae.
AGCUCCAAUAGCGUAUAUUAAUGUUGUUGCAGUUAAAAAGCUCGUAGUUGGAUUUCUGGCUUGGAGAGGCCGCCCAUCGCUUCGCGAUGUGGUUUGACCUUCUCUAGUCAUCCUUGUGGAAAGUGUGUCUGGUAUUCAUUUAUCGGGCAUAGGAUCUGCAUCGUUUACUGUGAAAAAAUUAGAGUGUUUAAAGCAGGCAUUUUGCCUUGAAUACAUUAGCAUGGAAUAAUAAGAUAGGACUUUGGUACUAUUUUGUUGGUUUGCAUACCAAAGUAAUGAUUAACAGGAACAGUUGGGGGUAUUCGUAUUUAAUUGUCAGAGGUGAAAUUCUUGGAUUUAUAAAAGACGAACUACUGCGAAAGCAUUUACCAAGGAUGUUUUCAUUA